CAUUAUCAAGGUAUCACCUACACAAGCAACAAACAAGUUAGUUUAAAAUCCCUCUCCUCACUCACACUCUCUUGGUUCACUCACACUCAAGUUCCACAAGAGUUGUAGAUUUGCUAGGAAACCGUGAAUCCAUAAGGUAUGAGUAUGCUCUUUCCCGGAAUGGAUUCUUGUUUGAAACUCAAAGAAUUCUCGUCGGACUAGAGCCAAAAGUUACAACGUAUUCAAACGACAAAAGCACACAAACAAACGUUGACACGAACACAAGGCUUCAAGUCACUAAUUGACAAGCUAGUAGGAAUGUACUAGUUUGUUAAUUAGUUCUCAAGUCAAUUAGAGGAAACUAGGAAUCAAUAAUUAGAAACUAGAACAUCCAAAUUUGAGCUUAAUUAUCACGUGAACAGUAACUAGGGUGACGUGGCAGCAUGUCAAUGGCCGCGGGUCCACAUAAAUAGUUCAUCAACUUGAAGUCUUAGUCCCCUUAGAUCUUUUGUAAUGGAUGACUUGUUAUUGGGAUGGAAAACAUAAAGUGUUGUAACAUUUUUCAAACCCCUUUUUUUUUCUUUUUUUUUUCCAAACUCAAAAGGUGAUGUUUGACCUCACUAGUCCCACA
RNAcentral lists this long non-coding RNA (610 nucleotides) under Capsicum annuum. RNAcentral's name for it is "long non-coding RNA (CANN_LNC003304)". The record is from RNAcentral. Lineage: Eukaryota; Viridiplantae; Streptophyta; Magnoliopsida; Solanales; Solanaceae.